This 74-nucleotide transfer RNA is filed under the name Candidatus Anoxychlamydiales bacterium. RNAcentral describes it as "tRNA-Asn". It matches the Rfam family "tRNA". Rfam says of the family: Transfer RNA (tRNA) molecules are approximately 80 nucleotides in length. Their secondary structure includes four short double-helical elements and three loops (D, anti-codon, and T loops). Further hydrogen bonds mediate the characteristic L-shaped molecular structure. tRNAs have two regions of fundamental functional importance: the anti-codon, which is responsible for specific mRNA codon recognition, and the 3' end, to which the tRNAs corresponding amino acid is attached (by aminoacyl-tRNA synthetases). tRNAs cope with the degeneracy of the genetic code in two manners: having more than one tRNA (with a specific anti-codon) for a particular amino acid; and 'wobble' base-pairing, i.e. permitting non-standard base-pairing at the 3rd anti-codon position. The record is from RNAcentral. Lineage: Bacteria; Pseudomonadati; Chlamydiota; Chlamydiia; Candidatus Anoxychlamydiales.
UUCCGAGUUAGCUCAGCGGUAGAGCAGUUGACUGUUAAUCAAUUGGUCGUAGGUUCAAAUCCUACACUCGGAGU